Long non-coding RNA from Prosopis cineraria, 854 nucleotides. RefSeq lists it as uncharacterized. The transcript has 2 exons. NCBI's taxonomy places the organism in Eukaryota, Viridiplantae, Streptophyta, Magnoliopsida, Fabales, Fabaceae. The record is from RefSeq and is a predicted model, not a curated record.
CUAAGCCAUACUGCACACUUACGAGUUGUGAAUUGCGAUUCAUCUUUUUCUCAGCAUCUCAUACGAGUGACUUUGCCCUCUUUCCUCUCGCUUUCGGCCUCACGAAUCACGAUCUUAGCAGCUCAGCCUCUCCUCCCUCUCGUCCUCACAAUCUCAUAUCUCAAUCUCGACUAAGGAGUCAUAGUACUCUCGCCCCUCGGUCCUCGCUCAUGAUUUCACUUUAUCGGCGUAUUCUCCUUCACAGUGCUCACUUCUCGGCCAGCUCAAUAUCAUCGACAUCAAUGGUCUCUCGAUGGAAUCCUCUAGCUGCUCACAAUAGACUCCUCUAGACAGAGAACUGUGGGUGCUCGUUCUUGCCUCUGUUAUAGUUCUCAAUCUCGACUUCAGGACCUAAGUCACCUUUUAAAAUGUUGGACAUGAAAGCUAUAAUUAGAGCGCGACUAGCAAAUGUAAUCGUUACAGGAACCAAUUUCAGCCUUUGAUUAUGUGAUUCUCAUGCUUUGAUUCUAUGAUUUUAUUUUAAUUUUUUUUAAAUGGGCUUAAAAGCUCGAUCCUGAGUUCUUUAAAUAAGGGCUGGGUCUCAAAAAUAGAGUAUUUUUAAGAAAAUCAGGCUUCAAGACUUAGGCUUAUAUGGGUCAGACCCGCCCGUUUCCCAACUCUAGAUGGGAGCUGAAAUCUGGAGGGGAGAGGGGAGAGAUAUGGUAAGGGCAUUUUUGUUAAUUUGAAGCUUCAAAUUAAUGCCACCGAAGGACCUUAAUUUGUAAUCUAUCAUAAGUCCUUCUUAGCAAAUGAAAUUUGGUCAGGUUUUUUUGGACAAUUUUUCCUAAUAUUAAUUGAAUAUAUUUUCUAUGAUA